GUCCAUAACUGACGCUGAGGAGCGAAAGCGUGGGGAGCGACGGGAUUAGAUACCCUGGUAGUCCACGCCGUAAACGGUGGGCACUAGAUGUGGGGCUCUUUCCAUGAGUUCCGCGUCGCAGCUAACGCAUUAAGUGCCCCGCCUGGGGAGUACGGCCGCAAGGCUAAAACUCAAAGGAAUUGACGGGGGGCCCGCACAAGCGGCGGAGCAUGCGGAUUAAUUCGAUGCAACGCGAAGAACCUUACCAAGGCUUGACAUAUGCGGUCUAUCCCUAGAGAUAGGGAGUGCUUCGGCGCCGUAUACAGGUGGUGCAUGGUUGUCGUCAGCUCGUGUCGUGAGAUGUUGGGUUAAGUCCCGCAACGAGCGCAACCCUCGUUCUAUGUUGCCAGCGCGUAAUGGCGGGGACUCAUAGGAGACUGCCGGGGUCAACUCGGAGGAAGGUGGGGAUGACGUCAAAUCAUCAUGCCCCUUAUGUCUUGGGCUUCACGCAUGCUUAAUAGGCCGCUACAAAGGGCUGCGAUACCGCAAGGUGGAGCGAAUCCCAAAAAGCCGGUCUCAGUUCGGAUUGAGGUCUGCAACUCGACCUCAUGAAGUCGGAGUCGCUAGUAAUCGCAGAUCAGCAACGUUGCGGUGAAUACGUUCCCGGGCCUAGCACACACCGCCC
Molecule: ribosomal RNA, 664 nt
Filed under: uncultured bacterium
Lineage: Bacteria
Description: bacterial SSU rRNA
Rfam family: Bacterial small subunit ribosomal RNA
Source: RNAcentral